GCCCAGGUGGUGGAAUUGGCAGACACAAGGGACUUAAAAUCCCUCGACCGUUAGGUUGUGCGGGUUCGAGUCCCGCCCUGGGCA
Molecule: transfer RNA, 84 nt
Filed under: Novipirellula artificiosorum
Lineage: Bacteria; Pseudomonadati; Planctomycetota; Planctomycetia; Pirellulales; Pirellulaceae
Rfam family: tRNA
About the family: Transfer RNA (tRNA) molecules are approximately 80 nucleotides in length. Their secondary structure includes four short double-helical elements and three loops (D, anti-codon, and T loops).
Source: Rfam by way of RNAcentral